RNAcentral lists this ribosomal RNA (253 nucleotides) under uncultured bacterium. RNAcentral's name for it is "partial 16S ribosomal RNA". It matches the Rfam family "Bacterial small subunit ribosomal RNA", at positions 524 to 776 of the family's 1533-position model. The record is from RNAcentral.
UACGUAGGGUGCAAGCGUUAAUCGGAAUUACUGGGCGUAAAGCGUGCGCAGGCGGUUUUGUAAGUCUGUCGUGAAAUCCCCGGGCUCAACCUGGGAAUUGCGAUGGAGACUGCAAGGCUAGAAUCUGGCAGAGGGGGGUAGAAUUCCAAGUGUAGCAGUGAAAUGCGUAGAGAUGUGGAGGAACACCGAUGGCGAAGGCAGCCCCCUGGGUCAAGAUUGACGCUCAUGCACGAAAGCGUGGGGAGCGAACAGG